CCCUGUGUGGUGUAGCGGUGUGAGCACUGGACUGCAAUUCUGGAGACCAGGGUUCAAAUCCCAGUUUGGCUG
Phrynosoma platyrhinos (Desert horned lizard) is the source of this 72-nucleotide non-coding RNA. NCBI's taxonomy places the organism in Eukaryota, Metazoa, Chordata, Lepidosauria, Squamata, Phrynosomatidae. The record is from the annotation of a GenBank genome assembly.